CUCUUUUUCAGUCCCUGAAUUACAACCAACUUGAUCAGCAUCCUGUUUUUUCCAUUUAGAACAGUCCCAUUGCUGCAGUGUUUCAGUUGAGCAGUGUGAUGUAUGCUUGUUAUCAUGUUGAUUUUUCUUAGAAAAUUCCUUAUAUCCUUCUUUAUACUUUUCUUCACAAGUCCUAGAUAAUGUAUUUGACUUCUUAGUGACAGGUCUAUCAUGAUGCACAGUCUCUGUAGAUGUGCUAGGUGGCUUUUUUUCAAUUCUGACAUCUUCACUCAUUUUUCUAGAUCUGUCUGCCUUUUUAUGAGGUACAUAUAAAUUAUACACAGAUGACAUACGUUUUCCCAACACAGUUUGUUCAGCUUUUACCUUUAGUUUACAGAGUUCAACUUUCCUUUUCUUCACCACCUUGUCUCUCUGAACUGCAAAGCUAUGACACAGUCUUUUUCUUCCUGUACCAUCACAAGGACCUUUGUUACAACUUCCCCUGCUAGUUGUCACUACAUCAGCAGCGCCCGUACUUUUUCCAUGUUUAACUUCUUUGGAUUUAAAAUGUAUAACUAUUCUCUUUCGCUUUUCAGAUUCGAUUAAAGAAAUAGCUGUGGUUUUGCUUUCAUUUGGAGAUUUUCCUUGGGAUCGUCCAUCAGCACCAGUAUUAGAACUUUGGUGUUGUUUCCUCUCUUGUCUGCCUUUCCUUGUUUUGAAUCUUUGAAAUUCUGUCUGUCUUUCCACACUUUUACUGUAAGACCUCGUGACUUCAGAGUUUUUGUCAUCCUGGCCAUUCAAAUUGUCUUCCUUUAUUUUCUUCAGUCUCUUUUUGGACAUCUUUCAAACACACACAUCCACCCGGCCGAAGCGAACUCCCCGG
RNAcentral lists this long non-coding RNA (862 nucleotides) under Gallus gallus (chicken). Lineage: Eukaryota; Metazoa; Chordata; Aves; Galliformes; Phasianidae. The record is from RNAcentral.